This is a non-coding RNA of Caenorhabditis elegans, 21 nucleotides long. NCBI's taxonomy places the organism in Eukaryota, Metazoa, Nematoda, Chromadorea, Rhabditida, Rhabditidae. The record is from Ensembl.
UGAAUUAGUUGUUAUUGUUGA